AUGACCUCAAAAGUUUGUGAAAUCAGUGUUAAGGCGGCCGACAAAAAUAUGCGUAUUUUCAAGCAUACAGAUGGUCUUUACAAGCAUCUAGAUCAAGUUCCAUAUUCUUCAUACGAGGCCCCGGUUCCCUACAGUUGUUAUACAAACGAGUUCCUCUACAACAAAAUGUGCUCUCUUGAGAAACGCAUGACUACCAGUUUCCAAAACCUCAGCGUAGAGAUUUUAAUCAAAAUUAGGAAACAAAACCAAGCUCAAGUGAAAGAGAGUGAGGAAUAA
Vicia faba (fava bean) is the source of this 276-nucleotide non-coding RNA. The record is from the annotation of a GenBank genome assembly. Lineage: Eukaryota; Viridiplantae; Streptophyta; Magnoliopsida; Fabales; Fabaceae.